AGGGAGUCCCGGUGGACUCCAGGUGUAGGUAGGGAGUCCAGGUGUAGGUGGGGAGUCCAGGUGGAUUCCAGGUGUAGGUAGGUAGGGAGUCCCGGUGGACUCCAGGUGUAGGUAGGGAGUCCAGGUGUAGGUAGGGAGUCCAGGUGUGGGUAGGGAGUCCAGGUGUAGGUAGGGAGUCCAGGUGGAUUCCAGGUGUAGGUAGGUAGGGAGUCCCGGUGGACUCCAGGUGUAGGUAGGGAGUCCAGGUGUAGGUAGGGAGUCCCGGUGGACUCCAGGUGUAGGUAGGGAGUCCCGGUGGACUCCAGGUGUAGGUAGGGAGUCCAUGUGGACUCCAGGUGUAGGUAGGGAGUCCAGGUGUAGGUAGGGGGUCCAGGUGUAGGUAGGUAGUCCAGGUGUAGGUAGGGGGUCCAGGUGUAGGCAGGGAGUCCAGGUGUAGGUAGGGAGUCCAGGUGGAUUCCAGGUGUAGGUAGGUAGGGAGUCCCGGUGGACUCUAGGUGUAGGUAGGGAGUCCAGGUGUAGGUAGGGAGUCCAGGUGGAUUUCAGGUGUAGGUAGGGAGUCCAUGUGUGGGUAGGGGGUCCAGGUGUAGGUACGUAGGGAGUCCCGGUGGACUCCAGGUGUAGGUAGGGAGUCCAGGUGUAGGUAGGGGGUCCAGGUGUAGGUAGGUAGGGAGUCCCGGUGGACUCCAGGUGUAGGUAGGGAGUCCAGGUGUAGGUAGGGGGUCCAUGUGUGGGUAGGGAGUACAGGUGUAGGUAGGGAGUCCAGGUGUAGGCAGGGAGACCAGGUGUGGGUAGGCAGUCCAGGUGUAGGUAGGGAGUCCAGGUGUGGGUAGGGAGUCCAGGUGUAGGCAGGUAGUCCAUGUGUGGGCAGGGAGUCCAGGUGUAGGUAGGGAGUCCAGGUCUGGGUAGCGAGUCCAGGUGUGGGUAGGGAGUCGAGGUGUGGGUAGGGAGUCCAGGUGUAGGUAGGGAGUCCAGGUGUGGGUAGGGAGUCCACGUGUAGGUAGGGAGUCCAUGUGUGGGUAGGGAGUCCAGGUGUGGGUAGGGAGUCCAGGUGUAUGUAGGGGGUCCAUGUGUGGGUAGGGAGUCCAGGUGUAGGUAGGGAGUUCAGGUGAAGGUAGGGAGUUCAGGUGCAGGUAGGGAGUUCAGGUGCAGGUAGGUAGGGAGUUCAGGUGUAGGUAGGGAGUUCAGGUGUAGGUAGGGAGUCCAGGUGUAGGUAGGGGGUCCAGGUAUAGGUAGGGAGUUCAGGUGCAGGUAGGUAAGGAGUUCAGGUGUAGGUAGGUAGGGAGUCCAGGUGUAGGUAGGGAGUCCAGGUGUAGGCAGGGAGACCAGGUGUGGGUAGGCAGUCCAGGUGUGGGUAGGGAGUCCAGGUGUGGGUAGGGAGUCCAGGUGCAGGUAGGUAGUCCAUGUGUGGGUAGGGAGUUCAGGUGUAGGUAGGGAGUCCAGGUCUGGGUAGCGAGUCCAGGUGUGGGUAGGGAGGCCAGGUGUAGGUAGGGGGUCCAGGUGUAGGUAGGUAGUCCAGGUGUAGGUAGGGGGUCAAGGUGUAGGUAGGGAGUCCAGGUGUAGGUAGGGAGUCCAGGUAUAGGUAGGGAGUCCAGGUAUAGGUAGGGAGUUCAGUCGCAGGUAGGUAGGGAGUUCAGGUGUAGGUAGGGAGUUCAGGUGCAGGUAGGGAGUUCAGGUGCAGGUAGGUAGGGAGUUCAGGUGUAGGUAGGGAGUUCAGGUGUAGGUAGGGAGUCCAGGUGUAGGUAGGGAGUCCAGGUGGAUUCCAGGUGUAGGUAGGUAGGGAGUCCCGGUGGACUCCAGGUGUAGGUAGGGAGUCCAGGUGUAGGUAGGGGGUCCAGGUAUAGGUAGGGAGUUCAGGUGUAGGUAGGGAGUUCAGGUGCAGGUAGGGAGUUCAGGUGUAGGUAGGGAGUUCAGGUGUAGGUAGGGAGUCCAGGUGUAGGUAGGGGGUCCAGGUGUGGGUAGGUAGGGAGUUCAGGUGUAGGUAGGUAGGGAGUCCAGGGGGUGGGGAGAGUCCAGUGGACUCAAGGUGUAGGCAGCGGCGACCGGGUGUAGUCAAUCUUUAUUUCUUAAUACUGAGAGUGAGUGAUUGAGUUGGGUAUAACGCCGCUUUUAACAUUAUUCCAGUUAUAUCACGGCGUGUCAGCUUACUGUGGGAGGAA
Molecule: long non-coding RNA, 2156 nt
Filed under: Haliotis rufescens (red abalone)
Lineage: Eukaryota; Metazoa; Mollusca; Gastropoda; Lepetellida; Haliotidae
Description: uncharacterized LOC125376732
Source: RNAcentral